RNAcentral lists this long non-coding RNA (2656 nucleotides) under Homo sapiens (human). Its description in RNAcentral is "HSALNT0342242". The record is from RNAcentral. Lineage: Eukaryota; Metazoa; Chordata; Mammalia; Primates; Hominidae.
CUAGAAACCAUAUGAAAAUAUGAAAAUAUAAAGUUAUUUGGUAAAAGUAAAUAUAUGUACAAAUCUAAAACCUGUGUUAUUGCAACUUAGGCUUGUAGCUCCUCUUUUAAUUAUUUUAUAGGAUAUAAAAGACCAAAGCAUAACAAAUAACUAUGUCUAUGUAAAUGGGUACAUGAUAUAAAAAGAUGUAAUUUGUGACAUAAAUAACAUAAAGGAGGGAGUGCAGAGCUGUAAAGGAGUAGUGGUUUUUAAUGAAACUGAAGUUAAAUUGUAAUCAAUUUAAAAUACAUUGUUAUAACCUUAGGAAGUUUUAUGUAAUCACCAUGGUAACCACAAAGAAAAUAUAUACAGAAUACACAAUAGAAAAUGAGAAGGUAAUCAAAACAUGUCACUAUAAAAUAUCAACCAAAUACAAAGAAAGGCAAUAAGAAAAUGAGGGACAAAAAAGCUGUAAGAUAUGCAGAAGACAAAUAACAAAAUCACAGUAGUAAGUCCUUCCCCAUCAGUAUGUUUUAAAUGUAAAUACAUUAGACCCCUCAAUAUAAAGACAUAGAUUGCCAGAGUGAAUAAAACAAAUAGGAUCCAACUAUAUUCUGUCUACAAGUGACUCACUUUAGAUCUAAAAACAUGCAUACAUUGAAAGUGAAAGAAUAGAAAAAGACAUUCCCUGCAAAUAAUAAUCAGAAGAUAGAAGGAGUAGCUAUACUAACACUAGUGUCAUACAAGAUUGACUUUAGUUCAAAAACUGUUACAAGAAACAAAGAACAUUACAUAAUGAUAAAAGAGUGAAUUAACCAAAAAGAUAUAAUAAUUAUAAACAUAUAUGUACUAAACAUCAGAGCUCCUAAGUAUAUGACACAAACAUUGAUAGAAUUAAAUGAGAAAAUAAAUAGCUCUACAAUAAUAGUAAGAGGCUUCAACAGUCAACUUUCGAUAUUAAAUAGAACAACUAAACAGAGGAUAAUAAGGAAAUAAGGGACAAGAACAACACUAUAGGCCAAUUAGACCCAACAGACAUAUAUAGAACAUUCCACCCAACAGUAGUAGAAGACAUUUUUCUCAAGUGCAUAUAGAACAUUGUUCAGGAUAUAUCAUGUAUUAGGCCACAAAACAAGUCUUAAUAAAUUUAAAAAGAUUGAAAUCAUGUAAUGUAUCUUUUCCAAUCACAAUUAAAUAAAACUAGACAUCAAUAGCAGGAGGAAAACUGGAAAAUUCACAAAUACAUGAAAAUUAAAAAACAUACUCUUAGACAACCAAUGGGUCAAAGAAUAAAUCACAAGAGAAAUUAGAAAAUAUCUCAAGACAAGAUAUUUUUUGUUUCGUUAUUAUGAAAACAAAAAAAUACCAACUGAUGAGAUGCAGCAAAACAAUGCUAAAAGGGAAACUUGUAGUUAUAAACAUUUCCAUUAAAAAAAAAGUGCCCCAAUGAACAUAUGUGUGCAUGUGUCUUUAUGGUAGAAUAUUUACAUUCCUUUGGGUAAAUACUCAAUAAUGGGUCAAUAGUGGGUCAAUAAUGCUGAGUCAAAUAGCAAUUAUAUUUUAAGUUAUUUCAGAAAUUGCCAAACUGCUUUCCACAGUGGCUUUACUUACAAUAACAAAGACGUGGAAUCAACCUAAAUGCCCAUCAAUGAUAGACUGGGUAAAAAAAAAAAUGUGGCACACAUACACCAUGGAAUACUAAGCAGCCAUUAAAAAUAAUAUGAUCAUGUCCUUUGCAGGGACAAGAGCAGAGCUGGAGGCCAUUAUUCUAAGUUAAUUAACACAGGAACAGAAAACCAAAUACGGCAUGUUCUCACUUAUGAGUGAUAGCUAAACAUCAAGUACACAUGGACACAAAGAAGAAAACAACAGACACUGGGGCCUAUGUGGGGGCAGAAGGUAGGAGGAGGGUAAGGGUAAAAAAAACUGCCUAUCCUGUGCUAGGUUUGUUGUCCCGGUGACAAAAUUAUCUGCACAACAAACCCCUGGGACAUGUAAUUUACCUAUAUAACAAACCUGUUAUAUAAUUACCUAUGUAACAAACCUUAGGUUCAUGUACCCCUGAACCUAAGCUAAAACUUAAGAAAACAGUGCUCCCAGAUGGCCAUAUGUAUAGCUGUGCUGCAGAGAGACAUAGAGGAGCACCCCCACCCUCACCCACUGCCCUGGACCCUUGUAAUCACCCCACUUCCUAUAGAAUGGAAGAAAAUUUUUGCAAUCUACCCAUCUGACAAAGGGCUAAUAUCCAGAAUCUACAAAGAACUAAAACAGAUUUACAAGAAAAAAACAAACAACCCCAUCAAAAAGUGGGUUUGUCAUAGAUAGCUCUUAUUAUUUUGAGAUACGUCCCAUCAAUAUCUAAUUUAUUGAGAAUUUUUAGCAUGAAGGGCUGUUGAAUUUUGUCAAAGGUCUUUUCUACAUCUAUUGAGAUAAUCAUGUGGUUUUUGUCUUUGGUUCUGUUUAUAUGCUGGAUUAUGUUUAUUGAUUGGCAUGUGUUGAACCAGCCUUGCAUCCCAGGGAUGAAGCCCACUUGAUCAUGGUGGAUAAGUUUUUGAUGUGCUGCUGGAUUUGGUUUGCCAGUAUUUUAUUGAGGAUUUUUGCAUCAGUGUUCAUCAGGGAUAUUGGUUUAAAAUUCUCUUUUUUUGUUGUGUCUCUGCCAGGCUUUGGUAUCAGGAUG